This 253-nucleotide ribosomal RNA is filed under the name uncultured bacterium. Its description in RNAcentral is "partial 16S ribosomal RNA". It matches the Rfam family "Bacterial small subunit ribosomal RNA", at positions 524 to 776 of the family's 1533-position model. The record is from RNAcentral.
GACAGAGGGUGCAAACGUUGUUCGGAAUUACUGGGCGUAAAGCGUGUGUAGGCUGCUACAUAAGUCGGAUGUGAAAGCCCCGGGCUCAACCCGGGAAGUGCACUCGAUACUGCGUAGCUUGAGUACGAGAGAGGUGAGUGGAAUUCCCAGUGUAGAGGUGAAAUUCGUAGAUAUUGGGAAGAACACCGGUGGCGAAGGCGGCUCACUGGCUCGUAACUGACGCUCAUGCACGACAGCGUGGGGAUCAAACAGG